RNAcentral lists this unclassified non-coding RNA (876 nucleotides) under Helichrysum candolleanum. RNAcentral describes it as "contains 5' external transcribed spacer, ETS". The record is from RNAcentral. Lineage: Eukaryota; Viridiplantae; Streptophyta; Magnoliopsida; Asterales; Asteraceae.
GUUGCGUCACAGGUCGUCAUGAUCACGACCUAUGAGUGGCAAUAUACUCGAUGUCUAAGGCAUUGCCACCCUCCAAGUGGGGAGUUUGAUUUGGUUGCGACAAACGCAACCAUUUGGUUGCGACAAAGCAACCAUUUGGUUGCGACAAAGCAACCAAAUCAAACAAUCUGCGGCAACAUCGGUAGUGUCGUGUCGAUGUUGUUUAAAGGUGGGGCUCUAACCUGUUGCGUUGUUGUUGAUGACAUUCGUCCAUAGGUGAUGUGGUGUCAUGUCCCUCGUGUAUCCUCGUUUUUGGCUUUUCCAGCUUAUAACACAUGGAUAAUCGGUUGGUGAUCGACAUCACUCCCUUGGUUGAUGAAAGUCGUCCAAUGAUGUGAUGGUUUGUUUAUUUUGUUCUCGCAUCGCUCGGUGCAUUCUGUGGUCAUUUUGGCUUUUAGCGGCUUGCUUGGCAAUUGGGCUUGGUGGGUGGCUACUAGUUCGGAUGUCUUCGGGGAUGUCUACCGUAAAGGUGCAUGAGUGGUGUUUGGUUUGUUACGGGUGGUUGGCUCUUUGCUUGCGCAACAACUUCCACCUGGCAUACCUCUUCAGUCCUGUGUCAAUGCUUGUAUUGCGCUGACUGCACGACGGGUUUCUUGUGUUGCAUGCCUAACUAAUGGUAUCGUUUGAUGAACUGGUUUCCCUUUUCGUCUUGCGUCGCCUAUGCGAUGUGAGAUGAACCUUGAAGCAGCCUUUGUGAUCCACACUUUUGAUGCAUACGCAUUGAUUUUGUGGCCCAUUAAGUUUUGCUUGGUCUCUUGGAUAUGGAACCUGGUGUGGGCAUGGAAUUGUAAUGGUUCCUUGUUUGCCCAAGUUUAGCUUUUCGAAAACGAUUUGUCU